UGAGCGCGUUGAGUAGUAGCCCCGACGUAACGUCGGGGAGGAAAGUCCGAACACUCCCUCUGGAAAACUGGAGGAGAAAGGUAGCAGGUAACGCCUGUCGUGCGCUUUUUGCGGGCGCAAGAGGUGCGAACAGAGACGAGUCUUCGACAAUUUAGGGUUUACCUUGAGUAUGUCGAAGGGUGAAACGGCAAAAUCCUUACCCGAGUGCAAGGCCGUGUCCCGAGAGUAAUCGAAGGAAGUGCCGCUUGAUCCCGACGGUGACGUCAGGACCAGAUAAAUUACUGCUCACGACAGAAUUCGGCUUACAGACGCGCGCGCAGA
This 321-nucleotide RNase P RNA is filed under the name Candidatus Adlerbacteria bacterium RIFCSPLOWO2_01_FULL_54_21b. RNAcentral's name for it is "RNase P RNA component class A". It matches the Rfam family "Bacterial RNase P class A". Rfam says of the family: Ribonuclease P (RNase P) is a ubiquitous endoribonuclease, found in archaea, bacteria and eukarya as well as chloroplasts and mitochondria. Its best characterised activity is the generation of mature 5'-ends of tRNAs by cleaving the 5'-leader elements of precursor-tRNAs. Cellular RNase Ps are ribonucleoproteins. The record is from RNAcentral. Lineage: Bacteria; Candidatus Adleribacteriota.